RNAcentral lists this ribosomal RNA (235 nucleotides) under uncultured bacterium. RNAcentral describes it as "partial 16S ribosomal RNA". It matches the Rfam family "Bacterial small subunit ribosomal RNA", at positions 100 to 334 of the family's 1533-position model. The record is from RNAcentral.
CGGGACGGGUGAGUAACGCGUGGGUAACCUGCCUUAUACAGGGGAUAACAGUCAGAAAUGGCUGCUAAUACCGCAUAAGCGCACAGAGCUACAUGGCUCAGUGCGAAAAACUCCGGUGGUAUAAGAUGGACCCGCGUUGGAUUAGCUAGUUGGUGGGGUAACGGCCCACCAAGGCGACGAUCCAUAGCCGGCCUGAGAGGGUGAACGGCCACAUUGGGACUGAGACACGGCCCAG